This is a long non-coding RNA of Pipra filicauda (Wire-tailed manakin), 1385 nucleotides long. RefSeq lists it as uncharacterized. The transcript is spliced from 3 exons. NCBI's taxonomy places the organism in Eukaryota, Metazoa, Chordata, Aves, Passeriformes, Pipridae. The record is from RefSeq and is a predicted model, not a curated record.
ACGAAAAAAAACCCCAAACAAAAAACAACCUAGGCAGUGCAGCGAUAACACAAAUUGCCGGGUUUGGUUGUGAUGCAAGAUCCCUUGGGGUAGUUUCCAUCUUGUAGGUUCAGAUGGAAGCUCCACCAAUGGUCCUGGCUCCAAACCACCCCCUCGCAGCCCACCUAGAGCUGCCUCCCGUGCGCAGGGAAUCUGCUGGGCACCGCUCUGCCAGCUCUAAACCAUCCGUGUCUGCUGUAAUCCUCGCCCCUCCGUUUCUCUAUUCAAUAAAUCACAGAGAAUUUCUAGCAUCUAACAGAGCCCUUCGGGUCGCUCAGCUCCGAAUUUCUGAUCGAUGGAGGUGAGAUCGCCCUACCGACCCGUGCCAGCAGCAGCAGCAGCAGCAGCAGCAGCAGCAACCCUCCUCCCAAGGCGACAGGACAGAAGGGUUCGGUUGUUUAUUGCGUUUUUACCUGGAAUGAAUUGCAUCAAACAGCAGAGGAAAUACUGCAAAUGCGCAAGCAGGAGGCUGACGGCGGGCAAAAGGAUUUGGGCUAACAUAUUCCGCCGGGCAGAAGGCAUCGGCUGGGAGGUGGCGGAGCGGAGGUAGCGGUGCCAGGGCGGUGAGCGGGAGCAGUGAUGUGUCGGGAGAUGAGCGAGCUGCCUGACAUCAUCCUUUCACAAUAAGAGCCGGGCGCUGUGUCCCGGCAGGGCUGCCAAGGAUUCCUUGAUCCAUCCAGCUGCCCACGCUCCGCUCCGCGGCUGCGGCCGGGCCGGGACCUGCCGCCGGUCCUGGAUGCCGCCCCGGCCCCCCGAUGGCGGCCGCACCUGGGCCAGUCCCUGCAGCCCCUGAAACGCCGGACGGAUCAUCCGCCGCUGGAUCCGCCUCAAAACUCGAGCCACUGAUCAGUAAAACCUGAGACAGCAGUCACUAAAAUGAGCAACUCCGCCAAAAAUGCACAACUGCCGAGACCAGCUCUUCUUCAAAGGGUUUCUCUGCAGUGAAAGAAAUUAUUUAACGAUUUGAAGUCAUGUUGAAUGAAAUGAAAAGUAUCUGGGAAUAAGAAUCACCCAAAUGGGGAACUGCCCUGAAUAAAGCUCUGGUGCCCAAAUUUUCAAAAAAUAUUAAAAAUCAAUUGGAGUGAAUAAAAGAGAUGUGAAUAUUACUUUGAAGCAGAAAAAAAUUAUUCAGAGGAAGAAACUUAAAAGGGCUGAACUGUUUAUUUUAAUUGAAAGAGACCAAGAGGCAUUUUGAUCCUACUUGCAGAAAGGAACUAUUUGUUACGAAAUGUCUAUCGGGAAAAAGUACAGAAAUGGGUGACCAGAAAGAGAAGUCAGUUAAAUUUAGAAAGAUAUAUAUUUUUUUUUUCUCCUGUUAGAACCAACCAUUCAAACAACACACCAAG